This 12561-nucleotide long non-coding RNA is filed under the name Gallus gallus (chicken). The record is from RNAcentral. Lineage: Eukaryota; Metazoa; Chordata; Aves; Galliformes; Phasianidae.
GAGGGAUAUACGUAUCUAUAGGUUACAGGCAAGUGAGUAGUGUCGUACAGCAGCAUCCAUGGGACAGCAGCGGUCUUCUCUAACGAUGCCCACAGCUUCCGCUCCCCUCGGCCACUACUGUAUGAGAACUUCCAAGCACAGUUAAUUAGCAGCUGCGGGUCUCCUCCCGGCUGAGGGAACAUGCAUAGGAAUGCUCUGUAACUUCAGUUCUAAGAGCUGGAUCUGACACGUAACGCUGUAAAGAACUGUUAAAUGGUAAUUGGGGACCCGACACCGUCCCUCAGGAGGGGAACUCACUCCACUCCCACCCCGCGCACACCGCUGCGUAUCCGCGGAGCGCCGCCCGCCCCGAGAGUCGCCCCGGGGUGGGAUUUGGCAGUUCGGUCCAUCUGUAGCGGAGCCCGUCCCGGAGCCGCCGGGGGAAGGCGGUGCGGCGCUCCCAGCAGCGUGGGGGUGGGGGCGGCGGCCCCGGGAGGGUUCUCAUUGCGUUCGCUCUGCCGGAGCCCGACCCUCCCCUUUCACCGAAGCCCCGGCGACGCACGCAGGGCGCUGGGUUGUUUUCCGAACGCUCAGUCGAGUAGAAACGGACCGCGCCACUCCUCCAUCACCGCACGUCAGCCACAAGAAAUAAAUACACCGUCACUUUAUUGCCCCGGGCGGUCCUCGGCGCGCGGCCUUCCGAGCAGCCCGUGCCGGCGGCCUUUCCCCGGCGGGAGCGACGCGAUCCCGGCGGAGGGCCGAGCCGCGGCCCGGGGCGCCGUCCUCGCGCGGUCGGACGGGCCGGGCCGGGCCGGGCGGGGCUCCCCGCGCCGAUGUCCGCCUCCCCUCGCGGCCGGGCGCUCCGCGGCGUUCCCUCCGGUCCCGAGGGCCGGCGCGCGGCGGGCGCCGCCUCAGGGGCAGACGCGGGGCCCCGGGUACGGCUCUCCCCCGCACCAGAAGUCGGCGGCCGGCGCGGUCUCCAGCAGCCACACCUCCCUCGGCAGCGCGGGCUCGGCGCCGGCCGGCGGCCCCUCCAGCAGGCGGUAGUAGUGGCAGUCCCGGCCGUGCUCGGGGUCGUAGGGCGGCGCCAGGAUGUCGAGGAAGGCGGCGGGGCCCUCCACCGCGUCGAUCUGGUGCAGUCAUCAUUUCAAAAACAUCCAGCUCCCACCUGUGCUUUGGGAUGUGAAAGAAUGACGUUGGCAGGUAGAGGCCUCAAGUUCCUCUCGGAUGCAUCUGGACCAUUUUAUUAGGGAGUCCACUGAGCCUGUGAUCAGCCUGAGUGCAGCUGAUGGUGAGCAGCGCCAAGGUGUGGUACUGAGCUGCUGAUCAAAUUGGUGUAUUUCAGAAGACCUGAAAAAAUUAGAUGAUUGAAACAUCACUCGUAAGCCACAGCUUCACCAUGAGGACUUUAGGAAAAGCAUGGCUGCACAGAGUACCUUCACCAGCAAUCUUCCAGGCUCCGACAAAACUAUUGUUCUUGAAGACCAGAAAGAUUGUUAUUGAGCUUUCCACAAAGCUGAAAUAAUGCUGUGUGUUAAAAAAAUGUUAACAAUUUGAAGAAGUUAUAAAAAUUUAUAAGUUGACUGAAUACUUUGGAAAUUUCUGCAUAUUUUAAUAUAAAUAGAAAAUCAAAGAAAUCGUGGAAGAUGGAGGAGUUAUUUCAGAUGCAUUUGGUGCAGUGAUGAGCUCAAACUUUAUUCGAAACUAUUAUGGUAAAAUAGAACAAGAAGAUACAAAAGAGAGAAAGAAGGAAUAGAAAGUGGUGGAAGGGAAGGGUAUGUCUGGUCCAGUUUGAAUGCCCUGUCCUGGAGUGGGAAGCAAGUUCUGCACUGUAUGUGGAUGAAGUUAAUCAGUUUGCAGUAACAAAGUGUUGGAAGGGACUUCAAGAGCUUAUCUAUACAGAGCUGGCCAGCCUGUGCCUUGGAGGCCUGCUGGGGAGAGGUGACAUUCAAGUGAUGAAGAAAUAGGAGUCUGCACCAUUCGUCAGCCUAGCGAGAAGGCGGCUCUAUGCUCACUUUGAAAGAGGGCAGUGCAAAAGUUACCUAGCGAUGUGAGUACUCUGGGCACGGCGGAGGAGCUUCCCACUGAAUGCGGCACAGCGGCACAGCUGCUGAGGAGAGCAUGGCAACAGCAAGAAAUGGAAUUCACUGAAGAAAGCGCUUGACAAGCCAUGUGAGAACCAGCGUGAGCAGCCAGUGGGCACAGCCCCAUCUUCUUGGGUGUGUUUGAACAUGAGAUUCACCACAUCUGAGAGGACUGGCAUAGCAGCUCAGCCCAGCUAGGCUGGCAGCUGCUCUAGGGAUGCUGUGGGAAAGGGCGCAGGAACAGAUGGAGAGUAGUCCUUUCCAGGCUUGACUGUCCUGCAUUCAGGAGGUUGUAUGAGGAGCCCAGGGAACAGACUCAGCUUUCAGCUUGGGCUGAAGUUAUGGCUGGGUGGCAGAGCAAAUCGUGGGAAGGUGUGCGACGUGCAGUGGGAGGCACUGAGCCGCUCUGGGCAGUCUCCCAGCCUGGCCCCUGCACUGGACACUGAAGUGGUUCUCCACAACAUGUGCACGAGGGAAAAGCAUGUCUGCAAACGAGCUGUGCGCUUGGAGAUGAGAAUGUAGCUUUAAUGUGGAGGUUUGCACAUUGAGAUGCACUGACCUACUGGGACAGUUAAUGUGUUUCUGGACUUGCACAUCCCCUGUUUUCAGGCAAACAUUUCAUGCAGAUUUGUAACAUGCGAUAGCUGCCAAGCAUCUUUUACAUAGUCACAGUCUAGUGACUGAAGGAUCCACUAAUUAAGAAGCCCUUAAUUAGGCUUUUAAAUGAUAAACUGUAAUAGCUCUAGUGCAGCUGUUGUAAACUGUAGAGUAAAUUAUACCCAGUUGAAAGAGGCUUUAAUUACGUAUUUAUAUAACAGACUUUAAGGACUUUGAAAGAUAAAAGAAUUUUUAGUGUCUGCAAUUAAAGAAACAAGAGAGUAACAAUAGGGCUCUUAAACCAAUGAAAGCAAGGAAAUUCAAAAUUAAUCUGCAAAGUCACACUGGUACUUUGUUUUAUGCUCGUGGCAUUCUAAUUUUGGGGGUUUGUUUUUAUUCUUUUUGUUUCCAUAAUGCAUGAGAUAAAGAAGUAUUGUCAGUCGGGAGUUGAUGUCCCCUGCUCUCACUUUCCUAGCUUUCAUAGGUCCAUGUGCAGCCUUGGUGAUACUUGAGGAAACUUUCCUUGCUUUCGUUUUUGCAGAAAUUCCAGCAAGAAGAUUAUCAACUACUUUUUCUCCUCGCAUCCCGGUUUACAGAAUGGUUUGUUGUACACAUGCCUUUGUGAAGUCAGCAGGAGCUCAAAAAUCGGUUGGUUUGUUGGUUGUACCUGGAACUAUUCAGCUCUUUGGAGAUGGUGCUGUGGGCUCCCUUUUUGCGGGGCUCCGACCUGCUGAAAUUGAAGAGGGUUAAGUCUUUGCUCACAUUUAGGUCUGGACCAGACUCCAGUCUACCUUCCUGUUAGAUACCAGCACUGCUGCCCUCUCCACAGCUCUGCCUGACACUGCCUCUCUUGGUAACCUCACCAGUAGUCACCAAACUUGCAUGUGCUCUCUGCUCCCCUGGUUUACCCAACCCUGCUUGCUUCCCUUCCUUGCCACCUCUCAUCACAAAUAACAUUGAUGCACAGCAGUGAAUAAACACUUCUUUAUAGAGAAAAAUAAAACUGUCUCUGAUGUGCCAUCCGUUGCCUGAUGGGUUUGCUGAUCUGUUGCCAAUUCUUUUCAUUUCUUAGAUUACUGCUCCUCAAGACAAGAGCUGUGUAUUUAGUGCCUGUGUGCCUCUGCCAAGUAGAUGGUAUGUACAUUAGACUGCGAGACUGUAAUGUGCAGAGAGCUCAGCUCCUUUAGCUGCUCUCUGGGACUGGUCUUUACAACUGUAGGACUUAGCAGCCCAAGACAGCUAAACAAGGUAUUGCUUUUUGCUUAUUCCAACCACAUCCAAGCAUUUUUAUCUGUAUCACAGCAAGGAAAAUAAGGAAUACCACUCUCACAGUUAAUUUUUAUGGCUGAUUAAUUAGCCCAAAGAGUAUUAAAUUGUGCUAAUGUAGUUUGCCUCUUCGAUGCUGUCUUUUGACUUCAAUGGAACUUAAUACGUGCUUAAAGUUAACUACAUGCCUAAGUGCUGUGGUGAAUCGGGGCCUAGGGCAUUAAUUAGAACUUGGCUCAGAUUUACUUUCAAGGCUUUUUUCUCCUCUUUUUUUUUUUUUAACUCUUCAGAGCUCAGCAGUUUAAUUGGUAUGCAGAUGUUCCCCUUUAUUGCUGGUAGAAGCCUCUGUCACUGUUCUGAAGGUACUCAGACAUCAAGGCUGGUACAGUGGGCAGGAAGAAACCCCCCCUGAAGGCUUUCAAGCUUUGUGGGAAAUAAUGAUGUAUGAGACAGGGAUUCCUUUGGAACCUGAAGGGAACAUGACAGAUAGAAUAAUAUGGGAGGAAAACAUUGUCUUCACAAUUGAGACUGAUGGUCUCAUCUUGUCUCCUUGUUAUUGUUACCAACCAAGACUGAGAUGAGCUUUCUUACGAAGAACUUCAUUUCGUGGCAGGUUCUAUAUGUUGGACGCACUGUGCUCAGUGGUAGCUUUCCAUCCAAGGUACAGAUAUUGACAGGCUCUGAGGAACUCUUUGGGAUGGUGCUUUAGCUUAAAACCUAAAAUUCCUUCCAGCAUUCAGAUGCAUUUUGUCAGGAGUGACAGUUGCAAUUUGAUAAUCUUUUACCACUUUGCCUGUCUAUCUCAAACAGCUAGCUGGAGGGGAGAAACCCAGAGUUGUUGGGCACAGGAGUGUCAGCUUUAUGAGUCAGCUUUUCUCACACUUUAUUAAUUUCACUUUCCAGUGGUUAGUGCAUGUUUGGAAGAGACAACUGAUUUGUACGGAUCUGUGUAGGAUGGAGCAAAGCUGGAACUAAAGGAGCGCAAGUUGACAGCAGUGCAAUAGCUCUAAUUGACAGAUACCAAAGGCACUAUUUAAAGCAACUUUUCUUCUGCUGUUAAAGUUAAAAAUGGCCCCCAAUUUGUCCUCAGAUUCCCAUGUUAAAAAGAAAUGUUUGCAAGUAUAUUAAUUUAAAAUGGAUUAGCUGGAAUAUUAAGUGCUCCUUUUAUGUACUUGCAUUUUCAAGUUAGAUGAUCCAAAAUGCUUCUGUGCAAGGUACAGGAAGAUGACUGUUUCUUAACUCCUCCAGAGUAAAAGCUGUCUUUCAGGGGAUACUUUGCACAUGUGAGAUUUGCACUAGUGGUUUUUUGGCACUCACAGUUUCAUCAGAAAUGCAUUUCAGCAAAUGGGAGGCAGAAGGAUUAAUACACACGCCGCGUGUCGUGGGUGCAAAAAUGCAAGUAGAAAUUACAACCAUCAUUGGAAGGUCUGGGAAAAUAAGCCUUCCUGGAUGCGAGCAGGACAAAUUAGGAAAUAUCAGAUUUCUUUUACAACUGGCUGUUACUCUUUACAUUUCUGGAGAACUGGGAUCUUGCUGUUAAUCUUACAAAAAUAGAUGCUGUGGUGAAGCCUCAGGCAUGAAUAAAAUUGGAUGUUAAUCUUAAAGCAGAUUUUUUACAGCUAUGCGCUCAGAGCCAGUGAAUCCAAAUGAUUUGGAAACUCUGUGUUUGUUACUUAUUUAGAUCAAAGUGCUGUGGGGAAACAGGUCAGCGGCCCAGGUACAUAUUGUAACGUUUGAGGCUCCUUAAAGUUGAGCAGAUAAGGGCAGCAAACAUUAAACAUCUCUGGCUUCACGCAAAUAAUAGGCAAAGCUGAAAAAAGCCUGCUGACAAGAGGAGUGGGUGUUGGUGGGUGACUUGCUGCAGUUUUAGAGCUGUUAAGUGUAGGUUUUUUAGCAUUUUCAUUAUUUAAAAGUGGAGUGGUAGUUUCUUCACUCCCUCUGAAAAGUUACCAAUUUACUCUGAAAUACAGGGUAACCCGCAGUGAUUUAACAGAUUUGUAAUGUGCUGUAGAGUGAUUUCAAGUAACAGACUCCCUCCUUCUCGCCAAGUUUCCCACCGUCUCAGCUCUGCCUCCGCUCCUUUCUCUGUGUACAUCUGCACCAAAAUGCAAAGCAGGGGCUGCCCCACGUGUGACUUUCAUCAGCCUAGCUCCGGUGUCAACAUGCUGGGCAGCUUUGACCGCUCGUGCCCAUGCGGGUUUGCCUUAUUCCCAGUGUUCAGAAAGAAGAGGCUGAGUUAAUGACGUUUGGACGUUGGAAAUCCCACCACAGAGCAUGGCGUGGUUCAAAAGCACCUGCCACUCUGCUAGUACCACUGCAAGCAGACAGUCCUUCCUGGUAUGCAGACCUUCAGCUAAGUUCAUGGGAAGUACCAACGGAGCGUGGUGUCGGUCCCCAGGGUGCUCCUGGAAUCUGGGCAAUAUCAUCAUCUGCACACCUCUCUGUCUGAUUCAGAGAAAGCAGCUGAGCUGUGUUCGCAAAUAGCUGUCCAAUAAGACAGGCUUCAUGCGAAGAUGAGAGGCAGCUGAGACAUUUUCCCUGGCUGUCAAGCUGAAUGGGUCUCAGCCAGCUCAUGCUCCAGCCAGUUCAUUCCUACCUAUUGCUUGUGUUCAGUUGCCAUGCCUAUGGAAGGAUAUUUAAGCUAGAAGCCCCUUAGCAUGAUAAUAUUUGAAUAUGACAGGACCUUGCUGAAUAGAAGCUGGCCUUGUAUUUACUCUGAACAGUCUCUGGUGGUUUGUGGUAGGGAAUUGGGAGCUGGGGCUGAAGCCACAGCCUCUAGGACCAAACCACAGAAUUUACACACUCCUGCCAAGGCCUGCCAAUCUGUGUUCCUAGCUGAAGGUCUGUGUCACCGCUAUUUUGUGUGCUAGUGUCUUUGCUGUUUGAGGGAGGAAUCUAUUUUGUUCAGUAUAGCAAUACCGUCUAGCCUAGUUUAAUUUUAUUAGCUGCUGAUAACGUGUUACUAUUCUGCACGUCCAUGAGCUUGUUUAGUGUCAAUAACCAAGGGCAGAAAUACUUGAAUGGGAGCCUAGAUGGAGAUGCUUUCUCUUUCUCUAUUCCUCAUGAGAACCCACCUGCAGUACCACCACAUCCAGCUCUCAGACCCCCAUCACAAGAAACACAAGGGCCUGCUAGAGGGAGUCCAGAGGAGGGCCGCAAAAAUGAUCAGGGGGUUGGAAAGCCUCUCCUAUGAAGAAAGCCUGAGAGAGGUGGGGUUGUUCAGCCUGGAGAAGAGAAGGCUCCAGGGAAACCUUACUGCAUCUUUUCUUAAAGAAGACUUAUAAGAAAGAUAGACUUUCUACAAGGGCAUGCAGUGAUAGGAUGAGAGAUAAAGAUUUUAAACUAAAAGCGGGUAUAUUUAGAUUAGAUGUAAGGAAGAAAUUCUUUAUUGUGUUGGUGGUGAGGUACUGAAACAGGUUGCCCAGAGAAAUUAGGGAUACCCCAUCCCUCGAAAUGUUCAAAGCCAGGUUGGAUGGGGAUUUGGGCAACCUGGUCUAGUGGGAGGCCUGUGGCAGGGGGUUGGAACUAGAUGAUCUUUUCGGUCUCUUCCAACCCAACCCCAACCAUUCUAUGAUUCUGUGCUGAUAUUCUGGAGGACUCCAAGGUUUCUUUUGCCUUUCUUCCUUUCCCUGAUCUAGAAGGCCAGGAGAACGCUUAUCCACUCAUAAUAAAUGAUUCAAGCUGCAUGAGACUGAAAGGUCACUACAAGUUUCUGUUACUCUCCUGGUGUGACUGGUACAAAUCACAUCUUCUAGCAAACUUUAAGCAAGUAUGCUUCUGUUACAAGGUGAGAUGGUAAGUUAGUGCCACUGACGUCUGUUGGGUAGAGCAUUUUAUUUUGAAACCAUUCUUGCUCUGAAGGCUCAGUCAACUGCUCUUAAUCUGGGAGCCUACAGUGUAGGUAAGUGUGGUCAUGAGGCUGAACAGCUCAUGCAACUCUCCUUGACUUGAACUGGAGAAAGGCCAGAGUUUGUUCACUUUCACAUUCUGUAACUGAGAAAAAUGAAUUCUCUUCUAGGGAAGCAGUAAUUCCUUCCAUUCUUCCCAAAUAGAUGAUGACUAAAGAAGGUCUGAGCUGAGUAUAGAUAUUCUUACAUUUACUUAAAAUGAACGUAGCUCAUAACUCUUAUUUUAGCACCAAUCUGGAACACUACUGUGAACAGAUUUACAAAGUCUGCCUGUUUCUUACCUUGGCAUUCUGGUAAUUAUACUCAUUCUUGCACUGAUACUUGGGAGUUUGAUGAAGCAAAUGCCUGAAAGGUGAGUAGGUGAAAGGUUGAUAGUUUUCUAUACAAACCUGUUCUUUUUGUGUACGCCAUAAUUUUCUUUCAGUUCUAAAGUAUGAUUUUCUUCUUCUGAUACUAAGGAGUGAGGCACUGGGUUUUUUUUUGUUUUGUUUUGUUUUUUUUCUUCUAGCAUGUAUGUCAUCAGCAGUUAUUAACUUUGUUCUAGUUGCAGGGUCCUUUGUUGCUGGAUUGAAAAAACCUACUAACUUCAACCAUGUGUUUUUAGACUAGACACUUAACAAAAACCUUUACUGCAUUUAUAAAAUGAGCAGAUUUAAUCUGAAAGUCAUUGAAAGAAACCAAUAAAGAACUUCCUUGAUGUGAUUUCUGGACUUACUAUGUGGAACUCUAUCACAUGUUUUCACGUAUUGGGCAUAAGGGCAUUUGAAAGGAUAAAGAAGGUUAAAUGUAGAUGAUAAUGAAAAUAUUAUCAGUAUUUAUAGGUCAGGCAAUAAUGUCAGUGUAUUAAUGUGAUAUGAAAUAUUUCUUUGAUUUCAUGGACAGUGCCUUACUGUAUAUAGCUUGCUGCAAUAGUGUGGUCCUUGAUAUACAUAGUUUAACUUUUAAAAUGUGUUAGUAAUCUGUUUGCCUUGAAAUGCCUUAUGAAAAGUAUACUUAUUAUAGAACACAUACAGUUGCUAUCUGCCUAGUGCUAUCUCUGUUAUAGCAACUUAAGCUAAGAGAACACAUUUGGAAGAAAACCUCUUCCAAGCAGAGAAUUUUUUUUUGUUAUUGUUGCUGUGAAACUGUUGCUGGAAACGUUCAUUAACAAUUAGAGAUGUAGUCUUUCAACUGGACUUCCUUCAUUCAAAUUAUAUACAGAUUGCAAGACUCUUCAAGCCUACGGUCAUGUCAGGAGUGUGAGGAGUAAGAUAUUAGCCUUUCUUUUAAUCAGGAGAUCUUUGGAAUAGGUAUCUUGUUCACCAAAUUGCCUUCCUUUUCAUCUGUCACCAAAUAACAUCUUUGUAGAACUGCAGUAACUGGAAAGAAAGAAAAUACUGGAAAGUAUUUCUGUAGUUAGAACUGGGCUUGGCAUAUUUUCACCCUUCUGGAAAAGAGAUGCUGGUUUUGGUUCUUUGCUUUUUAAUCCCCUUUUUCAUGCCGUUGAGUACUGGAACAAAAGAAUAAAGGUGAGUACUGAGUAAACUGUGAAUUCUUUUUGGAUCAGACUUCAAGAGUCUGUUCUGACACACAUUUUGGUGUCACUUCUUCUGAGGGACUGUACUGACAAGCUCUCAGAACAUAUUCUUCCACGACAACUUCACAUAAUUUAGUAAACAUUUGAAUAAAUUUCAUACCAUCUUAUUGAAGUAGGCAGAAUACUUAUUUCUUGAGUAACCGAGCUUAAGUUAAAUGCUCAUAAUAAUUAAAACUAUAGAUUACAAUUAGUGGCUUGCCAUUCUAUUGCAGAAGUAGGUUGAAUGAAAAUCUCUGUCAAAAAUUAGAGGUUAAACACUGAAUUAAGAUACCAAAUAAUAGUGUGUCAGGAGUAUAGCCUUCUAUUUAGGACAGUGUUGUCAUGCACCUUGCUUGUACAAGGUCUGGAAACACUGUGAGACUUGGACAAACACAGUGCAGCCUCAGACUGUAGGGAUGUUACCUCUUUUUGAGCACGAUAUGCUCAGUCUCUUGGUUGAUGGAAAUAUGUCCAGUAUCUAAGGAGCUUGAUAGUGUGGGAGACAGCCACAGAUGCUCGAUUAGAAUACCCGAACGUUGUAGCAUGGGGCAGGAUAUAGCUUCUGUUCCCUUCUGCACCUCUGAAAUUGGUGUAAUAUGAAUUAGAUUGUCAUCAAGUUUAAUUUGUGAAGACCCAUAAAACAGAAAUGGCUCUACAUCGGUGCUAAAACUUACGCCACUUGCAUUAAAUGCAUGAGUAGCAAUCAGUAUUUGUUAAAACAAGUGCUUUUCCAGAAAUAUUUAAGUAAAAUCUCUAGGUGAAAUCUGAGCAAAAUUUGGAUUGGUACCUGCAAAAAUGGUGACCUCCUCCCUUCUAAGUUCGAUUUUCCUCUUGACGAUAGCCCUUCACCUAGAUGCCUCCCCAGGCAGCUGUAGUGAAUGGAUCUGGCCACAGAGGGAAUCUGGCCCACCGAAUUCCUUUUCUUUCUGUGCAAUUGAAUGAAAAGCAUGUGUCUUUUGAAGAACAGCGACUGAAAGAAAUAUUAAUGACUGCUGGGACAUCUACAGAAAAGCAUAAAAAAAUUACUACAGCAGGGAAGACAAAGGGGCUCUGUUAACUCUUUCUUGUAGGUUGUAUAUAUUAAUAGUAACGACCAAAGGUUCGUAUUUUUGCAGGGAAACACACAAGGCUUUGAAUUGUAUUGUUUUAAUUGCAGCUAGCUGAAUGAAUUAACUGGAAAGUCACACACAGUGCUUUGAUUGUCUAACUCUGUAUGUGAGGCUUUGGGAACAGUUUGUUAUUAGAAAAGAACAGCACUAACAAGAAAUCAGCCAACAUAUAAUUGCUGGGCUGAGGGACAGUUUGGGGAAAGCUGAUAUUUAUUUAUAAACUAUUAAAUAAAAAGCACAUAAUAUGCGGGUCAUCUCUCACUGCCUCCACACUUCAGAUAUUACUCAUCCUCCUAAGCUUCGUGUUCUACGGGGCAUUGCUUCUUAUAACCACUUCAGGAGUUGAAACCACCUACACCUAGGGAAGGAGAUGCUUGGACCUCUGUUACAAUGGCAGUUUUGGUUAUGAGACUGCACCAAAGGACAUGACUUUUCAGUUCAAGGAAAGAAUUCUUGACCAGGGAGCUGCUAUGUGCCUAAAAUACACACAAGCACUCGGGACUCUGUUUAGGUAGCCUCAAUACUGGUCAGUGUUUCCUACUGACAGCAGCCAUCUAUCCAAUACCCUAAAUAAAAGCUUAAGUAAGGCUUAAGAACAAUUUUGGCAUUCAUUUUAGUGGGAUUCUCAAAAACAUUUUCUUCCCAUCAGUUUGGGAAUUAUGCAACUUCUGGUUGUCUCUUGUGCUUUUCUCUGCCUGCUUAGUGCUAUAUGACCUUAGAAUUACAGCCACUUUGGAAGAUACAGAGAGGAGGAAGGUGGCGGCUGGGCUCACCAAGAGGCUGGAAUGCAUUUCAUCCUCAAUAGUUUUGGCUAUCAAAUACCUGUUCCUGCUUCUCUGGGGGAUGGAACCAUGGCUCUUUCAUCUAUGAGCUUUUCUCUAGGAAAACAAACAUAACUAUUAUCAUUGGCCCAGCUCUUCACAGCUAUACAGUUUCCUCUCAUUUCCAGCCGAGAGCUAAGAAGCCAAAAUUAUGAUGGAUUAGCUCUCUGAGGCUUUCUAGCUGUGUGGAAAGAGUAUUCUCUCCUCCAUCUUUCCUUUAGAAGCAGAAGAGGUGACUUCUGGGGACACACACAGCCCAUCUCCCUUGCCUGGCCACCCUUUCAAGGGGCAGCCAUAGGUGUUGGCAGCUGUGGCACUCACAGUCAGGUGCACAGGGCAGCCAAUCCUCUCUGCUUCAGAGGUGCCUGUUGCAAAGCAGGUGCACUGACACCUAAGCAGAUCCUCACAUGGCCGUGCAACAAGUGUGUGAGCAACGUCUGGGCCUCGCAGUGAGGUGUGUGUCCUGCAGACCAGGAGGCCCUGGGGACAGAAAGGUGCACCGUCACCUGGGUAGAUGGCACUGCCAGACCCAGCUUUGGGCUCGCUGAGCUGCUAUAUGCAGAUGAUGUUUAUGCUGUACAAACAAAUAGUACUGUUAGACCAUUCAAAUAGCGUUCAUGCAGCUUUUAACUGGUAGAGACUUUAUUUUAUGAUUUCAUCUACAGGCUUGUUAGAAACUUCUGUAUCCACACCAUCGGGCAGACUUUCUCCGUGAGGCCCAGCUGAGGUGAUGUGAAAAUUGCAUCACUAUUAUCAGCUACCUACCCAGUGGGUGCAAGACUGUUGUGCCAGAAGGUGCUUGAGAGGCGGAGCUGGGCAGGAUUUGACUUUGCACAGCUCUUGCUAAGAAUUGCUAAAUAUCUCUUUAACUGGUUUUUGACAUUUGAAUGUAUUUUCCUCAAGUUAGUUAUUCUUCUACAAAGGAACGUAGUUGCAUUUAUGGAAGAUCUUGACUUUUACAGCGUGUGAGGCCCAUGCAGUUUCCCCUGUGUACGCGUGUUGCCUGCAUAAUUACCAACAGCUGUAACAAAAACCCAGUUUUGUUAAAGGAGCUUUCAACAGAAAGGUAGAAGUGAUAUGCAACAGAAGAAAAAUUAAAAACAAGAGGGCUUGGAAAACGUUUAUAUACUUAGGAAAAAAAUUCAUUUUUAAUCCUGUUCUAUUAUUCUCUCUCUGAUAUUAAAAUCUAUAUAAAGCACUGCUGAUUUCAAUCGGCUCAACGCGAGGUAAUUCAGAACUCCC